Molecule: ribosomal RNA, 398 nt
Filed under: uncultured bacterium
Lineage: Bacteria
Description: partial 16S ribosomal RNA
Rfam family: Bacterial small subunit ribosomal RNA
Source: RNAcentral
AUACGUAGGGUGCGAGCGUUGUCCGGAAUUACUGGGCGUAAAGAGCUCGUAGGUGGUUUGUCGCGUCGUCUGUGAAAUUCCGGGGCUUAACUCCGGGCGUGCAGGCGAUACGGGCAUAACUUGAGUACUGUAGGGGAGACUGGAAUUCCUGGUGUAGCGGUGAAAUGCGCAGAUAUCAGGAGGAACACCGGUGGCGAAGGCGGGUCUCUGGGCAGUAACUGACGCUGAGGAGCGAAAGCAGGGGUAGCGAACAGGAUUAGAUACCCUGGUAGUCCAUGCCGUAAACGGUGGGCGCUAGGUGUAGGGGUCUUCCACGACUUCUGUGCCGUAGCUAACGCAUUAAGCGCCCCGCCUGGGGAGUACGGCCGCAAGGCUAAAACUCAAAUGAAUUGGCGGGG